This is a non-coding RNA of Chrysemys picta bellii (western painted turtle), 347 nucleotides long. The record is from RefSeq and is a predicted model, not a curated record. Lineage: Eukaryota; Metazoa; Chordata; Testudines; Emydidae.
UUCAGCGCACGCGUGGACGGAACGUGGGGUUUGAUGGGGUUGGUGGCGUUAAUCCAGAGUAGUAGGGCCCUGUGUGGCUGGGUCUACACGGUCUCACUUCGGUUUAGCAGCGGCUGAUCCAGUUUAGGGGUACGUCUUCACUACCCGCCCUGUCAGCGGGUAGCAAUCGAUUUAUCUGGGAUCGAUCCCCGAACGCGCUCCCCGUCGACUCCGGCACUCCACCAGAGCGAGCGGCAAUAGUGCAGUCGAUGGGGGAGCUGCGGCCGUCGAGCCCGCGCCGUGUGGACCCAGAUCAAAGACACGUUUGUUGAAAGCCACCAGCACCUUCCAGGGUAACAACAUGGACA